This is a long non-coding RNA of Culex quinquefasciatus (southern house mosquito), 642 nucleotides long. RefSeq lists it as uncharacterized. NCBI's taxonomy places the organism in Eukaryota, Metazoa, Arthropoda, Insecta, Diptera, Culicidae. The transcript has 3 exons. The record is from RefSeq and is a predicted model, not a curated record.
GAGGAGGGAAGGAUACAAGAGCGAGGGGACAAUUGCAAUUGCACACACAAACAGCAAGGAACACAACGGCGACGAAAAAAAAGUUGUACACCGCCAAACUCGUCAAGAGAGUGAGCCGCACACACUCGACUUCGGGAGCAAGGCGAUGCAUCGAUGAGGUGGCGAUCUGUCAAACUUACACGUUCGUGGAAGUUGACGCGGUUUUCGAGUGCGUGCUGGUUUUGCUGCAUGGGAGUUUGGAGCCAAAUGCAGUAUUCGUCGUUGCACCGAGUAUGAACCACCAAACAGAGAGAAGAGAGAGAGAGACCUUGAAGGAGCCAGUGCUGGAGGGAAAGAACGAGACAAACUCCGCAAACGAUGACGGCAGCGGUAAGAGAGGAGAACAGAAUCCCCGAACAAAAGAUCUCUUUGUAGAGGACUGGACAUCGCCGGGAGGCGGACGAGGACCAGGGAGGGUUGAAAAUCCAGCGCUGAAGGAAUGCAGCCGUCGUCUGAGAUGCAUUCGGCCGAGAAGUGCAUCGGAUGCACUUUUUUCGAUUGCAUCUUGAGCGGUUAAGUUUGGCGGGCUCGGGGUUAAGUUUUGAAAAAAUAUGUUCUGAGAGACUCUUUUUUUGGAAGAAAUUUGGGUUAAGGAAUGCAAAA